UGGAAGCUUAAACAAUUAGCUGGUGACUGCAGGACAUGUUUAGGAAUCUGGAUAAUUGACUUCUAAUUUCUCCAUUCUUUCUACAGUUCAGUAAAUUAAAAAGCAUUGUUGUGAUGCAGUCUCAUUUAUGGCAGUUAAGUGGACUAUUAUUAUCUUGGAAGAAGAGCCGAAGGAUGCUGUAGUGCUUCUAGCCUCUUCUCUUUGAUCGUCUUUCUGCUCACGAAGGACUGGAGUCUGAAGCUGGGAUUAAUUUCUGAUUAGUCUUAAGCAACAAGAUGUUAAAUGGAUCAGAAAAGGGU
Long non-coding RNA from Lutra lutra (Eurasian river otter), 299 nucleotides. RefSeq lists it as uncharacterized. The transcript is spliced from 3 exons. NCBI's taxonomy places the organism in Eukaryota, Metazoa, Chordata, Mammalia, Carnivora, Mustelidae. The record is from RefSeq and is a predicted model, not a curated record.